AAUGUGUAUCUUUUGGGAUAAACUCAGGAGUCAGGCAAGGAGAUGGUCUUUCUCCAAUCUUAUUUAAUAUUGCCAUAGAAGAAGCACUUCAGAGUGUAGCAGAGAGGGAUUUAGGGGUGGAAGUGGGAGCUAAACUAAACAUCCUAGCUUUUGCAGAUGAUGUUGUCAUAUUUGCAGA
This is a long non-coding RNA of Homalodisca vitripennis (glassy-winged sharpshooter), 178 nucleotides long. RefSeq lists it as uncharacterized. The record is from RefSeq and is a predicted model, not a curated record. NCBI's taxonomy places the organism in Eukaryota, Metazoa, Arthropoda, Insecta, Hemiptera, Cicadellidae. The transcript is spliced from 3 exons.